Molecule: long non-coding RNA, 575 nt
Filed under: Physcomitrium patens
Lineage: Eukaryota; Viridiplantae; Streptophyta; Bryopsida; Funariales; Funariaceae
Description: long non-coding RNA (PPAT_LNC009663)
Source: RNAcentral
AGGCGGAGUUGCAUACAAAGUUUGAAUGAGAAAUAAUGGUCAAAGAAGGAGAAAUUGCAGGUUAAAGUUCAUCAUCGACCUUCUAGGCGACGAUGUCAUAUAAUGUGAAGUCUUGCUUGAGAAUGCACCAAGUACCUGGCUGUUGAAGAUAAAAGAAAAUUGCAAAAAAAAGUCCUAAUAAUCCAAUAGGAUUAUAGAGAAAUUAUAAUUAAAUAUUAAUAAUCAUAAUCAAAUAUUAAGCAAGCUAAAUUAAAUUUUAUUGAAGUUAUGAAAAAAAUAUAAGGAAAUCCUAAAGAAAUAUAAAAGAAUAUUAAAGAAAACUUAAUCAAACCUCAAUAAAAAUCUAAAUAAACCUUUAAUUCUAAUCAAACCCUGAUCCUAAUCCAACCUUAAUCAAAUCCUAAACAAAUACUAAAUCCUAAACAUAUCCUAGUCAAAUCUUAGAUAAAUCCUAAUCCUAACAAAUCCUAAUCAAUUCCAAAUCCUAAAAAAAUCCUAGUCAAACUUUAAACAAAUUCUAGUCAAAUCCUAGUUAAAUCUUAACUCUAAAUCCUAAUCAAAUCCUAAACCCUAAA